AGAACUGCAAAACAGAGAUUACCUGACCUAAAGCAUUUAUAUUGCCAAUCAUGUUGGAGAGUCCAUGUGGUGAUUUCUGAAAAUGAGAUGUGAGAAAGAAGAGGAUAAUUUAAGUCUAGACCUACAGAUUGUGCUGAUAAAGUGACGAAGAACUACAAUCUUCUUAGUCAUUUCAUUGUAUAAGUGCAAUAAACGAUUUUGUGUCUUUCCUGGCAAACAACUUGUGACCACAGUGAUGGCUCCAGCAGAAUGGAAAAGACCCUUUACCUCACAUCUCAGAAGUAAAGAUGCUGAUUAUUUGACAUUGCCAUUGCAAUCUCAAAACAGUGUAAAGCAUUUGCUAAAAAGAGUCACUUUCUGAGAAAUGACUCAGAAUUCGACUUACGUACUAGCAGAACUUAUUGCCCAUAAAAGGAAAGGCCACACUUUUUGUGAAAACUUAAUAAUCCCUAGGAUGUAAAAUUAUACUGAGUUAAAUCCUAGGCCCAUUUUUAGUAUAAGAAAUUGGAAAAAAAUAAUCCACUCUCAAAUGGUAAGACAAAUUGAGAUAUUGCUGAAAAGCCUCUUGACCCUGAAAAGGUUCUGAAU
Molecule: long non-coding RNA, 588 nt
Filed under: Pan troglodytes (chimpanzee)
Lineage: Eukaryota; Metazoa; Chordata; Mammalia; Primates; Hominidae
Description: lincRNA
Source: RNAcentral